ACAGUGUUAAGACUGUUUAUCAAAAUAUAUUCAUUUAAUAAGUAGCGGAAGUGAGUAUUUGACAUUUCGUGCUGGCUCCCGAUUGGUCGCGCCAGUUCUAAUCGUAGCGCUUCCGGUGAGACAAGAUGGCGGCAACUGACGCUACGGUUGGAGGGCAGAACGAGUGAGACUACUAACGAGUGCAGAUCAUGUUGUCAGAUUGUUAUAUCCAAACGUUGUGAUUUGAUGUAACUUACUUAACUGUGUCGGAGAGUACGUGAAUAUACGUCUUGCUGAAUCAUCGGAUUGUUUUAUUGAACUGUCGUUCACAGUUCAGAAGGCGGGAUUAGUCGAGGUUCUUGUAUAAAAACCUUGGUGAAAAAACUUACGCCCUUGAAGUUAUAAUCAUGGCAAGUGGAAAAGAGUCGAGUCCAGGACCGUCUCGUAAACGAAAAAGAGACGAGUCGUAUGAAGAGGAUGACAGCUAUACCCCAGAGCGCCAAAGACGUCGGCACUCGGGGCAUCGCAGCAGCCGUAGCCGGUAUAGAAAGAGCAGGAAGGUGAGGCGUUCGAGAUCUCGUCGGCGAAGGACACCCAGUUCUUCACGUCGUCAGCACGAGCACGAGCUGACCAGAUUACGACCAGGUGAACCCCAAUCAGUCACACCAGCUGAACCUAUCCAGAUGACCCCGGCAGGUGCAGAUACAGCUUCACAGGAAUUGCCUAACUCAUCUGUUAGUAAUAGGGAGAUGAUAGAUUUUGCUACACAAUUUAAAGAACUCAUUCAGACUAUGAAAGCGGGAGGCAGUAAUGAAAGAUUUCCGACUAUGAAUGUUAUACCUGAAUAUGACCCUGCUAAACGGACGCAGACUAUUAGUACAUGGUUAUUGAAGGUUAACGAAUGCGCGCAAAUUUAUAGCUGGACAGAAAGACAAACAAUCCAUUAUGCCUUACCGAAGUUAGUAGGCCUCGCACAACAAUGGUAUCAAGGAUUGCCAAGUCUCCUGUUUUCAUGGUCUGAGUGGCAGGAGAAACUGAAAUCAGUCUUUCCAAGUGACGAGAAUUAUGGGCGACUGUUGACUGAAAUGUUGGCCUGUAGGGCGCGAUUUGGUGAAUCGUUAGAGGAAUACUAUUACAAAAAGAUUAUUUUCUUGAAUCGUUGUAAUAUAACGGGUAAGAACGCAAUAGACUGUCUGUUGUUCGGUAUUGAGGAUAGGUCCGUAAGGACAAGCGCAGAGGCUGCUCAAUUCACAGAGCCUGAUAAAUUGUUAGUAUACUUAAGAAAUGUCAAAACUACAAAACCCAGUGAAAGGACCAACACAUCUUUUCAGGCCGGCACGUCCGACAAUAGGCGUCCUAGGUUUAAUAAAUCUGUAACCAGUAAUAAUGAACCUAAAAGCAACACAAAAUGUUACAAUUGUGGCGAAGAGGGUCACCCAUAUUUUAAAUGUAAACUUCCAAUCAAAAGGUGCAACUCAUGUAAUAAAGUUGGGCAUAUUGCUAGCGAUUGCCUUUCAAAGAAAGAAAAUACUGAGAAAAAGACUGUUUUACGCAUAUCGCUUAAGCAGGGUAAUGAUACUAAAUAUUUUAAAUCCGCGAUAGUAAAUGGUAAAGAUUUGGAAUGUUACAUAGAUUUCGGCAGUGAAUGCACUGUAGUGAGGGAAUCGGUCGCUCACAAAUUAUCAGAUGAUUGGAUUCUAACAGACUUACCGGUGCUUAUAGGAUUCGGUGAAGGACUAGUUAACUGCAUAGGAAAGUUUAAUGUCACUCUGAAAAUAGACUCAGCUCAAGCGGGCUUGGAAGCGUUGGUUGUCCCAGAUAAUCUUUUGAAAGUUCCUCUGUUGGUAGGGCAAACAUUUACCGAACAAGAACAUAUUGUUGUUUAUAAAACUAGUAAAACGCUUAAAAUAUCAACAAACACAUUGCAGGUUAAAGAAAAUAUACCAUUGUAUGUUCAUGAGUCGGUGAAUGUUAGGGGCUAUACGGUUGUAGAUGUGUAUUCGAAACCAACGUAUAAUGGUGAUUUAUUUAUUGAGCCAAGUAUGUGUUUACAGCCAAGAAAAGAAUACGACAGUAUACAAAGUGUGAUUAAAAUGGUAGAAGGUCAUGGUCAGGUGGUGAUCAAAGGUCUAGUGGCAGAGGGCUUUAGUUUAGAUAAAGACGUAUUGUUAGUCCGUGCGAUACCUUUAAAGGAAGCUCCUAUGCCUGCAGAAACAUUUAACGUCAAUAGGGUCGAAUGUAAUAAUGGUAAUCAAGGCAGCGAUUCCUUGAUUGAUGAAACAAUGGUAAAUGUAGAUAAAAAUAUAAAGGAUGAUGACCGGCAUAAAUUAGUUGAUUUGUUAAAUGAGUACAGAGAUUGCUUCGCGUUUUCGAUCAAGGAGCUAGGGUGUGUUACCAACACGGAAAUGAGCAUUAAACUUAAUGACCCUACACCUGUGGUAUAUAGACCAUAUCGGUUACCCCUUUCAGAGCGAGAGGUAGUUAGGGAUAUAGUUCAGGAACUAGAAGAAUCGGGUAUCGUGCAACAAUCUUCUUCAGAAUACGCAUCACCGAUUUUGUUAGUUAAAAAGAAAACAGGCGAUUACCGCCUUUGUGUGGAUUUUAGGACUCUCAACAAACGUACAAUCAAAGAACAUUAUCCUCUCCCGAGGAUAGAUGAUCAAUUAGAUAACCUUUCUGGUCAUAAAUUUUAUACAGCUUUGGACUUGGUUUCUGGAUAUUAUCAGAUCCCCAUGGCUGAACCCUCGAGACACCUAACUGCGUUCAUAACGCCGGACGGGCAUUAUGAAUUCACAAGAAUGCCCUUUGGGUUAGUUAAUGCACCGUCCACUUUUCAAAGGGCAAUCAAUAACAUUUUAGGUAACGCUAGAUUCAAAGACGCUCUAGCAUACAUGGAUGAUGUGAACAUUCCGUCGAAGACUGUUGAUGAAGGACUUAUUAAAUUGAGGGAGGUAUUAGAGCUGUUUCGCAAAUCAGGGCUGACGUUAAAUCUUAAAAAGUGUCACUUUUUGAUGCAGUCCAUAAAUUAUCUCGGGUUUGAAAUUAGCGAGGAGGGUAUACGGCCUGGUGUUAGCAAGAUAGAAGCGGUAGAGAAAUUUCCCAGACCUACAGACCAGCACAAGGUAAGACAAUUCAUCGGUUUAGCGAGUUUCUUUCGCCGGUUUGUCAAAGGGUUUUCGGCACUUGCAAAACCCUUAACUCAACUGUUGAAGAAGGAUGCCCGCUGGACAUGGGGGGAAGCUGAAGAAAACGCAUUUGUUACAUUGAAAAAUGAGUUAAUUAAACGACCGAUAUUGUCCUUUUACGACCCUUCAUAUGAAACCCAGGUUCACACAGAUGCCUCGAAACAUGGGAUAGCGGGCAUACUUCUUCAAAGACGAGAUAAAGACUCUCCAUUUACUGCAGUCGCAUACUUUAGUAGGCAGACUUCGCCGGAAGAAGCAAAGUUCACCUCUUAUGAUUUAGAAACUCUUGCCGUAGUAUGUUCAGUGCAGCGCUUUCGUGUGUACUUGUUAGGUAUUUCCUUCACCAUUGUCACUGAUUGUAACUCGCUUAGAGCCACCUUUGAUAAGAAAGACAUGUUACCGAGAGUGGCGCGCUGGUGGAGCAUACUCCAAGAAUACGAUUUCAAUAUUGUAUACAAGCCUGGUUUAACCAUGGCUCAUGUUGAUGCGUUGAGCCGUAAUCCCCCUGAUUUAAAAUCGACCCCUGUUUUAAAUAUUCGAAAUAUUAGUUCCAAUUGGAUAACUACGGUACAGAGCAGUGAUCCCGAACUUCAGAGGAUAGUAAACAUAUUUAAUGACCCAGAAAGCAAUAAUGUUGUAGAAAUCAAAAAUAACUACUUGGUCAAGAGGGGGUUGUUAUUUAGGAAAACUGAAGACGGUGAUCGCUGGGUUGUACCAAAAGGCGUCAGAUGGCAGGUGCUGAAGGCUAGUCAUGAUGAUAUUGGCCAUUUUGGUUUCGACAAAACCUAUGAGAAAAUUAAGAGCAAUUAUUGGUUUGCUAAAAUGAGACGAUUUAUUAAGAAAUACGUCGAUUCGUGCUUAGAGUGUGCGCAUGCGAAGGUACCAUCAGGGAAAAAGGCUGGUGAACUACAUCCCAUUGAAAAAGUUGACCGACCGUUUCAUACUAUCCAUAUUGACCACCUGGGUCCCUUCGUACGCAGCAAAAGGAAAAACGCUUACUUACUUAUAAUAAUAGAUGCGUUCACAAAAUAUAUCAUGUUAAUUCCAGUGAAAAGUACAAAAGCUGUUCAUUCGAUUAGAGCUAUUAAACAUUACUUCCACACUUUUGACGUGCCAAAACGGCUAAUAUCUGAUAGAGGGACAUCGUUCACGGCUAAAAGUUUCAAAAAGUACUUACAUUCUCGAGGGGUCAAACAUAUCCUCAACGCAACCGCGACACCACGUGCCAACGGGCAAGUUGAGAGAUACAACCGAACGGUUUUAUCUUCUCUUACUGCUGUUACCCAUGGUAAAUCGGAAACGUCAUGGGACGAAUAUGUUGACGAAGUACAAUGGGGUUUAAACAACACUAUUAAUAAGGGCACGGGUAAGACACCUUCGCAAGCACUUUUUGGUUUUAGACUAUCUGGAAUGUCAGACUCAGUGCUACAAUCACACAUUGAAAUUGACGAUUCAGUGACGCAGAGUGACGAUACACAAAGUAAGAGUACGGUAGAGACUAAUCACUCACUUGAAGAUAUUCGUAGUGAAAUUUCUGAGCAUGUCCGGUUAAAUCAAGAAAAGCAAAAAGCAGCGUUUGAUAAGGGUAGAAAACAGCUCACUUUUCAGGUUGGGGAUUUAGUAAGGUUAGAGAGGGACAUACCAUCGAGUGGGCAGAGUAGAAAGCUAGUAUCUAAACUUCGGGGCCCGUAUCGCGUUGUUGAAGUACUUGACAAUGAUAGGUACGUUGUGGAGGACACUCCACUCUCUCGAAAGGGUAAUAGACCGUUUAGUGGGAUUUUCUCAGUUGACAAAAUGCAUCGUUGGAUGGUAUUCAAUAGGAGUAAUGAUAUUGAUUCUAGCAGUGAAAGUGAUGAGUCGUAACUUUUGAUUGGCAAGGAAGUGUAAUGUAAAAGUCUCGCAUCUGGGCGAAGGAAGUAUUAUAUACAAUUAACAAUGAUAUGAGUAGAUUAGUAAAAUGUGUAACGAGUUAUGAUGUGUUACGAUAGAAUUAUUACAAUACAUUGAAGUUAUGGUUGAUUAACGUGUACAUUGACUUGUUGAGGACUCUUAAUGUCGAAUUCAAGGCUAUAGAGAGUAUUGGAGACAUUAAGGGGCUCCAGUACUAUGAUUAAUUGUUAUGAGACAAUAUUGAAGACAUGAAGGGGCUUCAGUAUUGUGAUUAGUUAUACGAGGCAGUAUUGGAGACAUGAAGGGGCUCCAGUAUUGUAAUUAGUUAUAUAAGUCAGUAUUGGAGACAUGAAGGGGCUCCAGUAUUGUUAUUAUUUAUAUGAGGCAGUAUUGGAGACAUGCAGGGGCUCCAGUACUGUGAUUAGUUUAUAUGAGGCAAUAUUGGAGACAUGAAGGGGCUCCAUGUUGUGAUUAGAUUAUAUGAGGCAGUAUUGGAGACAUGAAGGGGGCUCCAGUACUGCGAUUUAUAUGUAAGUUGUGUUUUGGAAAUGUCCAAUAUAAAUAUUUAAAAUGAUCGCAUCGUUAUUGUUAAACCAGUGUUAUGGAUAGAUAAUAUGUUACAAAUAUAACAUAGUAGAAUAAGUAUGAAAAGCAAAUGGAUCCUAAUUUUGUUAACAUUUUAAAAUUAGGAAAAUAAACAUUAUUAUUGUCAAAUUAAACCCUAACUGUUGAAAUUGAGGCAUGUCAUAGUUUAUAGUUUACUGAUUACUGGCAUUUUAUCGAGACGAUAAAAAGUCAGGAAAGGCCGACUGUUAGCAUUUCAUUGUCAUAAUUAAUUAUUAAAAUAUGUAAUUUAAAUUUAUGUAUAUUUUGAUAAACAGUGUUAAGACUGUUUAUCAAAAUAUAUUCAUUUAAUAAGUAGCGGAAGUGAGUAUUUGACAUUUCGUGCUGGCUCCCGAUUGGUCGCGCCAGUUCUAAUCGUAGCGCUUCCGGUGAGACAAGAUGGCGGCAACUGACGCUACGGUUGGGGGGCAGAACGAGUGAGACUACUAACGAGUGCAGAUCAUGUUGUCAGAUUGUUAUAUCCAAACGUUGUGAUUUGAUGUAACUUACUUAACUGUGUCGGAGAGUACGUGAAUAUACGUCUUGCUGAAUCA
Long non-coding RNA from Cydia splendana, 6211 nucleotides. RefSeq lists it as uncharacterized. The record is from RefSeq and is a predicted model, not a curated record. The transcript is spliced from 2 exons. NCBI's taxonomy places the organism in Eukaryota, Metazoa, Arthropoda, Insecta, Lepidoptera, Tortricidae.